RNAcentral lists this ribosomal RNA (21 nucleotides) under Knoxdaviesia cecropiae. RNAcentral's name for it is "partial 28S ribosomal RNA". Lineage: Eukaryota; Fungi; Ascomycota; Sordariomycetes; Microascales; Gondwanamycetaceae. The record is from RNAcentral.
GUGACCUCGAAUCAGGAGGAA